This is a long non-coding RNA of Hypanus sabinus (Atlantic stingray), 632 nucleotides long. RefSeq lists it as uncharacterized. The record is from RefSeq and is a predicted model, not a curated record. NCBI's taxonomy places the organism in Eukaryota, Metazoa, Chordata, Chondrichthyes, Myliobatiformes, Dasyatidae. The transcript has 3 exons.
UGCGUGCCUGGCUGUGGGGAGACGAGGAGUCUCGCUGUCUCCAUGGCAACCCAGCCACACGCUCAAUGGUCGUUGUGCACUGUGGCCAAUGGGCCAAUCCUAUAGGCUGGGAAAAUUACAAGAAAACCUGCAGAAUACCAGUCGUCAUAGAGGGAUCAGAAGUGGAGAGAGCGAGCAGUUUCAAGUUCCUGGGUGUCAAGAUCUCCAAAGACCUCACCUGGUCCCAACAUAUCGAUGUAGCUAUAAAGAAGGCAGGACAGCGACUAUACUUCGUUAGGAGUUUGAAGAGAUUUGGAACGUCAACAAAAACACUCAAAAACUUCUAUAGAUGUUCCGUGCGAUAAUAAACCUGAUUCUGAUGCGGGAAAUCCAGAGCAACACCCGCAAAAAUGCUGGAGGCCGGGAAGCAUCGAUGGAAAAGAGUAAACAGUCGACGGUUCAGGCCCAGGUACUUCUCCAGGAUGGGAAAAAAGAUGAGAAGUCAGAUCAAGAAGGCUCUGAUACCUCCUUCCUGGUGGUCGCAAUGAGAAGAGGCCAUCUCCUGGAUGAUGAGAGCCCUUAGUGAUGAAUGCUGCCUUCUGAAGAUGUCCCCGACGCUGGGGCGGGUAGUGCCCACAAUGGAGCUGGCUGAG